RNAcentral lists this non-coding RNA (1091 nucleotides) under Drosophila simulans. RNAcentral describes it as "Eukaryotic large subunit ribosomal RNA". It matches the Rfam family "Eukaryotic large subunit ribosomal RNA", at positions 1939 to 2812 of the family's 3401-position model. The record is from Rfam by way of RNAcentral. Lineage: Eukaryota; Metazoa; Arthropoda; Insecta; Diptera; Drosophilidae.
GGAUAAGGGAUGGGUUUGAAAGAUUGAGAUAGUCGGGGUUGAUUGGGAAACAAUAACAUGGUUUAUGUGCUCGUUUUGGGUAAAUAGAGUUUCUAGCAUUUAUGUUAGUACUUGUUCCCCCGGUAGUUUAGUUACGUAGCCAAUUGUGGAACUUUCUGGCUAAAAUUUUUAAGAAUACUAUUUGGGUUAAACCAAUUAGUUCUUAUCAAUUAUAACGAUUAUCAAUUAACAAUCAAUUCAGAACUGGCACGGACUUGGGGAAUCCGACUGUCUAAUUAAAACAAAGCAUUGUGAUGGCCCUAGCGGGUGUUGACACAAUGUGAUUUCUGCCCAGUGCUCUGAAUGUCAAAGUGAAGAAAUUCAAGUAAGCGCGGGUCAACGGCGGGAGUAACUAUGACUCUCUUAAGGUAGCCAAAUGCCUCGUCAUCUAAUUAGUGACGCGCAUGAAUGGAUUAACGAGAUUCCUACUGUCCCUAUCUACUAUCUAGCGAAACCACAGCCAAGGGAACGGGCUUGGAAUAAUUAGCGGGGAAAGAAGACCCUUUUGAGCUUGACUCUAAUCUGGCAGUGUAAGGAGACAUAAGAGGUGUAGAAUAAGUGGGAGAUAUUAGACCUCGGUUUGGUAUCGUCAAUGAAAUACCACUACUCUUAUUGUUUCCUUACUUACUUGAUUAAAUGGAACGUGUAUCAUUUCCUAGCCAUUAUACGGAUAUAUUUAUUAUAUCUUAUGGUAUUGGGUUUUGAUGCAAGCUUCUUGAUCAAAGUAUCACGAGUUUGUUAUAUAAUCGCAAACAAAUUCUUUAAUAAAACGAUGCAUUUAUGUAUUUUUGAUUUGAAAAUUUGGUAUAACUCCAAUUACUCAGGUAUGAUCCAAUUCAAGGACAUUGCCAGGUAGGGAGUUUGACUGGGGCGGUACAUCUCUCAAAUAAUAACGGAGGUGUCCCAAGGCCAGCUCAGUGCGGACAGAAACCACACAUAGAGCAAAAGGGCAAAUGCUGACUUGAUCUCGGUGUUCAGUACACACAGGGACAGCAAAAGCUCGGCCUAUCGAUCCUUUUGGUUUAAAGAGUUUUAACAAGGAUUCCACCACA